CCUACGGGCGGCAGCAGUGAGGAAUAUUGGUCAAUGGACGCAAGUCUGAACCAGCCAUGCCGCGUGCUGGAAGACGGCUCUAUGAGUUGUAAACUGCUUUUGUACGAGGGUAAACUCAGAUACGCGUAUCUUUCUGAAAGUAUCGUACGAAUAAGGAUCGGCUAACUCCGUGCCAGCAGCCGCGGUAAUACGGAGGAUUCAAGCGUUAUCCGGAUUUAUUGGGUUUAAAGGGUGCGUAGGCGGUCGGAUAAGUUAGCGGUGAAAGCCCGAGGCUCAACUUCGGAAUUGCCUUUGAUACUGUCAGGCUAGAGAGUAGUAGCGGUAGGCGGAAUGUAUGGUGUAGCGAUGAAAUGCUUAGAGAUCAUACAGAACACCGAUUGCGAAGGCAGCUUACCAAGCUACGUCUGACGUUGAGGCACGAAAGCGUGGGUAUCGAACAGGAUUAGAUACCCGGGUAGUC
This 460-nucleotide ribosomal RNA is filed under the name uncultured bacterium. Its description in RNAcentral is "partial 16S ribosomal RNA". It matches the Rfam family "Bacterial small subunit ribosomal RNA", at positions 338 to 795 of the family's 1533-position model. The record is from RNAcentral.